Long non-coding RNA from Oxyura jamaicensis (ruddy duck), 991 nucleotides. RefSeq lists it as uncharacterized. Lineage: Eukaryota; Metazoa; Chordata; Aves; Anseriformes; Anatidae. The record is from RefSeq and is a predicted model, not a curated record. The transcript has 2 exons.
GAAUAUGGUGUCCAUGUUACAGUAAGUGUUGCAUGUUAAAGCAAGUGUUUAAAAACUAGCUUAUUUUCUGACUUCAGACUGUAACUCUUCAUGGGCCCCCUUUACCUGUGAUGUGCCAUUGGUAGACAACACUGGAGAGAGACGGAGACAGAGGCCAGCUCUGCUGAAUCACUGCCAAAACUUCCAUCAACUUUACCAAGGAUGUGGAUUAAGAGUACCCCAAAUAGCUGUCAGAGCUGCCCUCCUCCCACUUCCAGCGAACUGUGGGGGCAUGAACUGUCCAGAAAAAAAUACUUAUUUUAAAUUAGAUGGGGAAUAUAAACUUCUACUGACUGGUUCAAGAAACUCUGGUUGGAGAAGUCUUUGGUGUGCUGCUUGCCCUUUUUAUCCUUGUUUCUCUGUCUUCUUGCCACAUAAGAGAACUCUUCGUAACAGAAGCCUGACACCAUUACAGCUGCUAAGAGGAGAGCCAACUAAAAUGAGAAGGACAAAGGCUUUGAACAUUUAAUGGCCUAACACACAAAAACUACCUCCAGUUCCAGGAUGCAAAGCUUGGCUGACAGUCAGGCUCUGCUGGAUGAGGAAACCAGACAUACCCUGCAGGCAGCAUUUCCUUAGGCCCUGACCAAGGAACUACUUUCCCCUUGAAGGGCAAAGUAUGUUUUUAUGACCUUGCACACUAACAUAAAUACAGAACAACACAUGCAAUUUAAAAACUGAAAUCCCUAUCAGAACAUAACACUUCACUGUCCAUACUUCUUCCUCUGAGGAGACAAUGGGAAAACAAACUGUAUCUGACAGGUAUGUAGUCAGUUUGCUUAAUGUGUAAAGUCCUGCAAUUGGGGAGUACAGCAACAACAGCAGUGCAAAGAAAGCCAGACAGAUAUUUCCAGCUUUUUCCCUGAAAUGAUGAUCCAGAGGAAAAGGUUAGAAGAGGGAAAAACUGCUAGUAGUGAAAAGCAUUAGAAAGUAGAUAAUUUUACCAAAAAAA